This 252-nucleotide ribosomal RNA is filed under the name uncultured bacterium. RNAcentral describes it as "partial 16S ribosomal RNA". It matches the Rfam family "Bacterial small subunit ribosomal RNA", at positions 524 to 776 of the family's 1533-position model. The record is from RNAcentral.
UACGUAGGGGGCGAGCGUUAUCCGGAUUUAUUGGGCAUAAAGCGCGCGCAGGCUGCUUUUUAAGUCAGAUGUUAAAUUUCCCGGCUCAACUGGGAACCGCAUUUGAUACUGAAUUGCUAGAGGUCAGGAGAGGAAAGUGGAACUCAUGGUGUAGCGGUGAAAUGCGUAGAUAUCAUGAGGAACACCAGUGGCGAAGGCGGCUUUCUGGCCUGAUUCUGACGCUGAGGCGCGAAAGCGUGGGGAGCAAACGGG